This 6374-nucleotide long non-coding RNA is filed under the name Trifolium pratense (red clover). RNAcentral's name for it is "long non-coding RNA (TPRA_LNC002241)". The record is from RNAcentral. Lineage: Eukaryota; Viridiplantae; Streptophyta; Magnoliopsida; Fabales; Fabaceae.
ACGCAAAGGACCAUCCCGUAUCAGACCCGAACAGCCGCAGGUUCAGCCAAAAUCAGACCUGAAACAGAACAUAAUCUCUGUGCUAAAAUAUUCCAACAUUAAAGUAACUCAUGAACACAAUUUUCAACUAUAAAUCUUGAGUCUAGCACUUUUUCUCAAACAUUUUUCCCGUACACUACAUAAUAGGCAACAAAACAAAGCAUUACUAUGAACACCUAAUUUAGGGACAUCAAGGUACAUAUAUUCAAUCUAGGGACGACUUGGGAAAUAUAUUCAAUUUAGGGACAUUGAGGGACAUAUAUUCAAUUUUGCAUCUAAUGUGCCAAGGGACUUCUCCACUUAUAUUUGAAGGUAUGAAGCAUUCACAUUAAAAUUGCAUUCAGAUCAUCAAUGUUAAUAUAAGGACAUCGAGGGACAUAAACUCAAUUUAGGGACAUUAAGGGACAAUAUACUCAAUUUUGCAUCUAAAGCACCAAGGCACGCACACAACCAUCUUUCUUAUUUACCGUUAUGAGAAAAUAAUUAUCAAGGGUCAUCUCAACUUGCAUUUUAAGUUAUGAAUAAAACAUUCAUAUUCAAAUUGUAUUUAGACCAUAAAAUAAGAAUUCAUAGUACCAUCAAUUCAGUUUAUCAAAUUUAUGAUCACAUGAUCCAAAUAUCAACCCAAUAUCAUUCGCCGUCAAUUCAAUUUAUCAAAUUUCGAACCACAUAAUACAAAUAUCAAAUUUCAUAUCCAAUGUCAUUCUCCGUCAAUUCAGUUAAUCAAAUUUAUGACCACAUAAUUCAUCUCCGUCAAUUCAAUUUAUCAAAUUUAAACCACAUAAGCCAAAUAUCAAAUUCCGUAUCCAAUAUAAUUUCCCAUCAAUUCAGUUUAUCAAAUUCCACAUCCAAUGUCAUUCUCCGUCAAUUCAGUAUCUCAAAUUUAGGACCACAUAAUCCAAAUAUCAAACUGUGUAUCCAAUAUCAUUCAGGCACAAUAGAAUCAUCUUUCCAAUUUAUCAAAUUUUGAACCAUACAGCCUCAAAUAUCAUAUUUUCUAUCCACGCAUAUUCAAUUAAUCAAUUUAGAGACAUCGAAGGACAUAUAUCCAAUGUUUGCAUCUAAGGCACCAAGGGUCAUCUCCAUUUACAUUUGAAGUUAUGAAGCAUUCACAUUGAAAUUACAUCCAGACCAUCAAUUUAAGGGACAUCGAGGGACAUACUCUCAAUUUAGGGACAGUUAGGGACAUCAAGGCAUUUAAACUCAAUUUCGCAUCGAAGGCACCACGAUACACAACCAUCUUCCUUAUUUACCGUUAUGAGAUAAUCAUUAUUAAGAGUCAACUCGACUUGCAUUUCAAGUUAUGAAUAAAACGUUCAUAUUCAAAUUACAUUUAGACCAGAAAAUAAGAAUUCAUAAUUUAAACCACAGUUUUCGUAAAAAAUUCAUCUCGAUAGAUAGGGUCAUCCAAACACAUCAUCUCAAUACUCGACUAAAGAAUACUUUUAGCCAUUAUACAAUUUCUUACUUUCCAAAAUAGCCUUCUUAGGUUUGAUUUAUCAAGUUUCACCAAUUUAGCACAUUGUUGGAUAAUCAAGAAUAAGCAUUGACAUUGAAAUUGCAUUUAGACCAUCAAUAUUAAAGACAACGAUGGAUAUAAACUCAAUUUAGAGACAUCAGGGGACAUACCAUAAAUUUAUGAACAUAUACUCACCAAGAGGUUCACCAACAUCCACUCUAAAAAGAAGGGCAGACAGUUUUGUCUUUGAAAGCACAAACUGACCAAAUUUGUCACGGAUGCAUAUUUCAAUCCCAACUCUAUUUAAAUGUGACGCAAAGGAUGCACGAGUAUUGAAUUUUGCAUUGCCCCGAGGUCGGACUUUUCCAAUUAACAGCAGCCGAAUAUAUGUGUGCUCCGAACCAGGCUCAGCCGUUGUAGCAUUCGGCAAAGGACCAUCACGUAUUAGACCCAAAGUAGUCGCUAGCAUCAGACCUGAAACAGAACAUAAUCUCUGCGCAAAAAAAUUCCAACAAUAAAGUAACCGAUGAACACAAUUUUCAACUAUAAAGCUUGAGUCUAGCACUUGUUCUCAAACGUUGUUCCAGUAAACUUCAUAAUGCAGAACUAUGAACACCUAAUUUAGGGACAUCAAGGUACAUAUAUUCAAUUUAGGGACUUCUGGGGAAAUAUAUUCAAUUUAGGGAUAUUGAGGGACAUAUAUUCAAUUUUGCAUUUAAUGUGCCAAGGGACUUCUCCACUUACAUUUGAAGUUAUGAAUUAUUCACAUUGAAAUUGCAUUCAGAUAAUCAAUUUUAGGGACAUCCAGGUACAUAAACUCAAUAUAAGGACAUCGAGGGGCAUAAACUCAAUUUAGGGACGUUGAGGGACAUACUCAAAUUUGCAUCUAAAGCACCAAGGCAAACACAACCAUCUUUCUUAUUUACCGUUAUGAGAAAAUCAUUAACAAGGGUCACCUCGACUUGCAUUUCAAGUUAUGAAUAAAAUGUACAUAUUCAAAUUGCAUUUAGACCAUAAAAUAAGAAUUCAUGGUGCCAUGAAUUCAAUUUUAUCAAAUUAUGGAUCACAUGUUCCAAAUAUCAAAUUAUGUACCCGAUAUCAUUCGCCGUCAAUUCAAUUUAUCAAAUUUUGAACCACAUAAUCCAAAUAUCAAAUUUCAUAUCCAAUGCCAUUCUUCGUCAAUUCAAUUUAUCUCCGUCAAUUCAAUUUAUCAAAUAUAACCAAAUAAUUCAUCUCCGUCAAUUCAAUUUAUCAAAUUUAGACCACAUAAUCCAAAUAUCAAAUUUUGUAUCCAAUGUAACUUGCCAUCAAUUCAGUUUAUCAAAUUUCUAACCACAUAUUCAAAAUAUCAAAUUCCACAUCCAAUGUCAUUCUCCGUCAAUUCAGUUUCUCAAAUUUAGGACCACAUAAUCCAAAUAUCAAAUUUCGUAUCCAAUAUCUUUCCGGCACGAUAGCAUCAUGUUUCCAAUUUAUCAAUUUUAUCAAAUAGUGUCAAAUAUCAUAUUAUAUUUUUCUCAAUGCAUAUCGUUUCUUUUAUUUCCUUUUUAGUUCCUUAACUAGUGUGCCGAAUGCACUAGUCAGCAAAGACCUUGCGCCAUUAAGUUAUCUUUGGUUGAUUUACAAAGGACUCAAAUUACAUUGAUCUUCUAAAGGUUAAGUCUAUAAUUUAAAUAAUAAGUCGUCUCUUUCCUUUUUUUCUAAAACUUAACUCACAAACAAAAACAAAAGUAAUUAUUCAAAAAUGUUUACAUGCACCGCAACAUAUUUUGGUGGAGUUUAUUAAUAUACCUAUUGCCAUCUCUAAAGCACAAAGUUUAGACUUUAGAACAUAUAUAUGUGCAUGAGGGGUGAGAUCCCGAUCUUAAAUUCGAGUCACUUUGUGAAUUGUAAAACAGUCUUCAUUACUCAUUAGUCAUUAGUGUUGUCCCAGAAGAUCAGUAAAAACUAAUUAUAGCGAACAUGACAAGAAUAAAAUACUAACCGGAUCAAUUGUACCAUUAGGGAACAACGAAUAAAAUAGAAGUUUGUCUCCCUUCUGUGGCUUUACUCUUAAACCAAUACAAUCCUCAAAAUCAUAGUUAUCGUUCAUGUUCGAUCCAUUCUACACAAUAACAAUGCACGAAUUACAAAAGUAUGUGACUAGAAAAUGGGAAAUAUUAUGUGAAUCAAGAUGUAGUGACCAAAUAGGUUUUACCUUAUAUGGAAACAUGGUCUCCCCACCUUCUUGAACAUCUGUUAAAUACAGCAAAAAUGAAGCCAUCUGCAUGGUAACCAGAACUCAUAGUCGAAAAAACAUAACCAGUUGGAUAGACAACCAGUAUGAUAGGGAACCAAUCAGUGCAAAUGAAAAAGUAUGAGUUUUGUUGUGACAUACCCUUUGGCUCUCUUGUGAGCCAUAUUCAGCAGGAUUGAAUGCGUCAUAGUGAGAAUUAUAUUUUUGUCCGACCUCAUAGCGGAGAAUAUUAAAUGCCUGAAACAUGGUGAUUCCUCAGACAGUUUAGAAAUCAUCCUGAAAAGAAUUGGUUUACAAUUUCAACAAAAUCAAAAAGCACCUGAUUGGAUAUGAAAGGAACCUAAUACUUAUAUUUAAGGAUUUAAUUAGUAAUAGUAUACAUUGACGGUGUGAUAUCCAAUCAUAUCUCGUCAUAUAGAUGUUUGUACAGAUAUUUUAUUCUUCCUCCAACCACGAGGAAGAAUAAAAAUGUUUGUGGCAACAUUUUCCAACAUCCCCCAACCAGUACCUUUUCCCCCUGGACUAUCCAAAAGUAAUGUUCAAAAUGCUAGUUUUACUGAAAGGAAAACUAACAGCUUUUUAUGCAGAUACAAAUUCAAAAACAAUACAGAAAUAAACAAGAUUUUUAAGUAUUCCCUUGGCCUUCUCACAGAGAAGCGAGUGGCAGGGAGGAUAAUAGGAAAUGUUACCUCUCCAUGAGUCCUGGGAACUUUUGUUGCUUUGGCAAUUUUGUUGUCAAUGAAUUCUAAAACUCGUCCUCAGAAGCGCUAAUAAACAUACCAGAGUUGUUUGGAAAAGAUGAAUACAUAAGUUCCUGAUAUGAUUUAAUGGAACUAUCACUAUGAGAUAAUGUGCAUAUUGGAUUUUAAGAGAAGACCAUAAUCAUCAAUUUAAAAUGAAUCGUGGGUUGUAUAAGAACAUAAAAAAGCAAAUAAAAGGAUUAUCAAGGUACAUAAUCUCUGCACUAAAAAAUUCCAACAUUAAAGUAACUGAUGAACACAAUUUUCGACUAUAAAGCUUGAGUAUAGCACUUGUGCCCAAACGUUGUUCCCGUAAACUUCAUAAUAGGCAACAAAACAGAACUAUGAACAUCUAAUUUAGGGACAUCAAGGUACAUAUAUUCCAUUUAGGGACAACUUGGGAAAUAUACUCCAUUUAGGGACAUUGAGGGACAUAUAUUCAAUUUUGCAUCUAAUGUGCCAAGGGACUUCUACGCUUACAUUUGAAGUUAUGAAUUAUUCACAUUGAAAUUGCAUUCAGACCAUCAAUUUUAGGGACAUUGAGGUACAUAAACUCAAUAUAAGGACAUCGAGGGACAUAAACUCAAUUUAGGGACAUAUACUCAAAUUUGCAUCUAAAGCACCAUGGCACACACAACCAUCUUUCUUAUUUACUGUUAUGAGAAAAUCAUUAUCAAGGGUCAUCUCGACUUGCAUUUCAAGUUAUGAAUAAUGUUCAUAUUCAAAUUGCAUUUAGACCAUAAAAUAAGAAUUCAUGGUGCCAUGAAUUCAGUUUUAUCAAAUUAUGGAUCACAUGAUCCAAAGAUCAAAUAAUGUAUCCGAUAUCAUCCGCCGUCAAUUCAAUUUAUCAAAAUUUCGAACCACAUAAUCCAAAUAUCAAAUUUCAUAUAGACUGUCAUUCUCCGUCAAUUCAAUUUUUCUCCAUCAAUUCAAUUUAUCAAAUAUCGGACCAAAUAAUUCAUCUCCGUCAAUUCAAUUUAUCAAAUUUAGACCACAUAUUCCAAAUAUCAAAUUCCGUAUCCAAUGUAAGUUGCCAUCAAUUCAGUUUAUCAAGUUUCUAACCACAUAAUCAAAAUAUCAAAUUCCCCAUCCAGUGUCAUUCUCCGUCAAUUCAGUUUCUCAAAUUUAGGACCACAUAAUCCAAAUAUCAAAUUUCGUAUCCAAUAUCAUUGGGGCACGAUAGCAUCAUGUUUCCAAUUUAUCAAAUUUUGAACCAUAGUGUCAAAUAUCAUAUUUUAUAUCAAGCCACAAUACAAUCAUAUUUGAAUACAAUAUUUUCUAUCCAACGCAGCACAAUACAACAAUUCUAAUUUAUGGUAUUUAAAACCAUGUAGGUUUAAAUGUCAAAUUUCGAAUCCAAAGUUAUCAUCUCAAUUUAUCGGAAUACAUAAAGGUAUUUCUAUGAUAAGAAGAACCCAAUUUUCUCUCCUAGAAUCUCAACAAUAUAACUGAAUCCAAUUUUCUAGAACAGAAGAUAUUGCACAAAAAUAAAGCUAUAAUGAAUCAAAAAUGGAAAAAGAAAAAGAAAUGAACCAAAAUAAAAUUUGAGAAGAGUUACAAAGGUUACCUUGAGAGACCGCAGAUUCGUUGAAUGUGGAAUCAAGAAACUAUCUAUUGUUUGUACUUUUUCUUCACGAAUUCAAAAGACAUUUCUAGGGUUUGAAGAUUCUUCAAGAACAUUGACGCCAAACACGAAUCGUUUUCGUUUUCCUAAUUGAUUGCAAAUUACACUGUAAGAAAACAACAGGCUUCCAGAAUUCACCGUCGUCGUACAAGAAACGGAAGGUUGUGGAUUUGGGAAGAAGGAUUAGGGUUUGGAAUGGGAAUGGCGGUGAUCGGAGAGAUUGAAAUGGAAGGUUGUGUUUCACUUCACUGCUUAUAUUUUACGCCGUGAAACAUUAAC